This 498-nucleotide ribosomal RNA is filed under the name uncultured bacterium. Its description in RNAcentral is "partial 16S ribosomal RNA". It matches the Rfam family "Bacterial small subunit ribosomal RNA", at positions 30 to 523 of the family's 1533-position model. The record is from RNAcentral.
AUUGAACGCUGGCGGCAUGCCUUACACAUGCAAGUCGAACGGUAACAGGUCUUCGGAUGCUGACGAGUGGCGAACGGGUGAGUAAUACAUCGGAACGUGCCUAGUAGUGGGGGAUAACUACUCGAAAGAGUGGCUAAUACCGCAUGAGAUCUACGGAUGAAAGCAGGGGAUCGCAAGACCUUGUGCUACUAGAGCGGCCGAUGGCAGAUUAGGGAGUUGGUGGGAUAAAAGCUUACCAAGCCGACGAUCUGUAGCUGUCCUGAGAGGACGAUCAGCCACACUGGGACUGAGACACGGCCCCGACUCCUACGGGAGGAAGCAGUGGGGAAUGUUGGACGAUGGGCGCAAGCCUUAUCCAGCAAUGACGCGUGCAGGAUGAAGGCCUUCGGGUUGUAAACUGCUUUUGUACGGAACGAAAAGCCCCGGGUUAAUACCCUGGGGUCAUGACGGUACCGUAAGAAUAAGCACCGGCUAACUACGUGCCAGCAGCCGCCGCCG